GGGCGUAAGAGCUCGUAGGUCGUUUGUCGCGUCGAUUGUGAAAAUCUGAGGCUCAACCUCAGACCUGCAGUCGAUACGGGCAAACUAGAGUGUGGUAGGGGAGACUGGAAUUCCUGGUGUAGCGGUGGAAUGCGCAGAUAUCAGGAGGAGCACCAAUGGCGAAGGCAGGUCUCUGGGCCAUAACUGACACUGAGGAGCGAAAGUGCGGGGAGCGAACAGGAUUAGAUACCCUGGUAGUCCGCACCGUAAACGGUGGGCACUAGUUGUGGGAACCUUCCACGGUUUCCGCGACGCAGCAAACGCAUUAAGUGCCCCGCCUGGGGAGUACGAUCGCAAGAUUAAAACUCAAAGGAAUUGACGGGGCCCCGCACAAGCAGCGGAGCAUGCGGCUUAAUUCGACGCAACGCGAAGAACCUUACCAAGGCUUGACAUAUAGCGAAAAGUGGCAGAGAUGUCAUGUCCGCAAGGGCGCUAUACAGGUGGUGCAUGGUUGUCGUCAGCUCGUGUCGUGAGAUGUUGGGUUAAGUCCCGCAACGAGCGCAACCCUCGUUCUGUGUUACCAGCAUUCAGUUGGGGACUCACAGGAGACUGCCGGGGUCAACUCGGAGGAAGGUAAU
Molecule: ribosomal RNA, 617 nt
Filed under: uncultured Actinomycetes bacterium
Lineage: Bacteria; Bacillati; Actinomycetota; Actinomycetes
Description: bacterial SSU rRNA
Rfam family: Bacterial small subunit ribosomal RNA
Source: RNAcentral